CGCCCUUGAGUUUGAUCAUGGCUCAGGAUGAACGCUAGCGGCAGGCCUAAUACACUGCAAGUCGGACGGGAUUGAGGAGCUUGCUCUUCAUGAGACUGGCGCACGGGUGCGUAACACGUAUGUAACCUACCUUUGUCAGGGGGAUAGCCUCUCGAAAGAGAGAUUAAGCCCGCAUAAAAUCACAGUACAGCAUUGUACAAUGAUCAAAUAUUUAUAGGACAAAGAUGGGCAUGCGGAACAUUAGCUAGUUGGUAAGGUAACGGCUUACCAAGGCAACGAUGUUUAGGGGAUCUGAGAGGAUGACCCCCCACACUGGUACUGAGACACGGACCAGACUCCUACGGGAGGCAGCAGUAAGGAAUAUUGGUCAAUGGACGGAAGUCUGAACCAGCCUUUUUUUUUUGCAGGAAGACGGCCCUACGGGUUGUAAACUGCUUUUGUACCGGAAUAAACCUGAUUACGUGUAAUCAGCUGAAUGUACGGUAAGAAUAAGGAUCGGCUAACUCCGUGCCAGCAGCCGCGGUAC
Molecule: ribosomal RNA, 526 nt
Filed under: uncultured Rhizobium sp.
Lineage: Bacteria; Pseudomonadati; Pseudomonadota; Alphaproteobacteria; Hyphomicrobiales; Rhizobiaceae
Description: bacterial SSU rRNA
Rfam family: Bacterial small subunit ribosomal RNA
Source: RNAcentral